UACGGAGGGUGCAAGCGUUAUCCGGAUUCACUGGGUUUAAAGGGAGCGCAGGCGGGCUUGUAAGUCAGUGGUGAAAUACCCGUGCUUAACAUGGGAACUGCCAUUGAUACUAUAGGUCUUGAAUAUCGUUGAGGUUUGCGGAAUGGGUCAUGUAGCGGUGAAAUGCAUAGAUAUGACCCGGAACACCUAUUGCGAAGGCAGCAGGCUAAGCGAAGAUUGACGCUGAGGCUCGAAAGCGUGGGGAUCAAACAGG
Molecule: ribosomal RNA, 253 nt
Filed under: uncultured bacterium
Lineage: Bacteria
Description: partial 16S ribosomal RNA
Rfam family: Bacterial small subunit ribosomal RNA
Source: RNAcentral